This 159-nucleotide unclassified non-coding RNA is filed under the name uncultured Sordariales. RNAcentral describes it as "sequence contains ITS1". Lineage: Eukaryota; Fungi; Ascomycota; Sordariomycetes; Sordariales. The record is from RNAcentral.
AAGAGUUGCAAAACUCCUUAAACCCAUUGUGAACUUACCUUUGUCGUUGCUUCGGCGGGUAGCCCCAGGGCGGGGCUUCGCCUAUUUUAUAGGUGCCCGCCGAAUGCUUUCUAAACUCUUGUUAUUUUGUUACUCUGAGUUAUUAUUUUAAAUAAGUCA